UACGUAGGGUGCAAGCGUUGUCCGGAAUUAUUGGGCGUAAAGAGCUCGUAGGCGGUCUGUCGCGUCGGCUGUGAAAACCCGGAGCUCAACUCCGGGCCUGCAGUCGAUACGGGCAGACUGGAGUUCGGCAGGGGAGACUGGAAUUCCUGGUGUAGCGGUGAAAUGCGCAGAUAUCAGGAGGAACACCGAUGGCGAAGGCAGGUCUCUGGGCCACUACUGACGCUGAGAAGCGAAAGCAUGGGGAGCGAACAGG
RNAcentral lists this ribosomal RNA (253 nucleotides) under uncultured bacterium. RNAcentral's name for it is "partial 16S ribosomal RNA". It matches the Rfam family "Bacterial small subunit ribosomal RNA", at positions 524 to 776 of the family's 1533-position model. The record is from RNAcentral.